AGUGAACGCUGGCGGUAGGCCUAACACAUGCAAGUCGAACGGCAGCACAGUAAGAGCUUGCUCUUACGGGUGGCGAGUGGCGGACGGGUGAGGAAUACAUCGGAAUCUACUUUUUCGUGGGGGAUAACGUAGGGAAACUUACGCUAAUACCGCAUACGACCUACGGGUGAAAGCAGGGGAUCUUCGGACCUUGCGCGAUUGAAUGAGCCGAUGUCGGAUUAGCUAGUUGGCGGGGUAAAGGCCCACCAAGGCGACGAUCCGUAGCUGGUCUGAGAGGAUGAACAGGCACACUGGAAAUGGGAAAAGGGCCAAAAUCCUAAGGGAAGGAGCAAGUGGGAAAAAUGGGAAAAGGGCGGAAGCCUUGACCAACCAAUACGCGUGGGGGAAAAAAGCCUUCGGGGUGGAAAAGCCCUUUGGUGGGAAAGAAAAGGAAGAAGGUAAAAACCCGCUGGUCUGAAGGGAACCAAAGAAUAAGCAACGGCUAAAUUCGGU
RNAcentral lists this ribosomal RNA (492 nucleotides) under uncultured bacterium. RNAcentral describes it as "partial 16S ribosomal RNA". It matches the Rfam family "Bacterial small subunit ribosomal RNA", at positions 29 to 507 of the family's 1533-position model. The record is from RNAcentral.